Molecule: ribosomal RNA, 380 nt
Filed under: uncultured bacterium
Lineage: Bacteria
Description: bacterial SSU rRNA
Rfam family: Bacterial small subunit ribosomal RNA
Source: RNAcentral
GAUGAACGCUAGCGGCAGGCUUAAUACAUGCAAGUCGAGGGGCAGCGGGGGUAGCAAUACCUGCCGGCGACCGGCAAACGGGUGCGGAACACGUACACAACCUUCCUUUAAGUGGGGGAUAGCCCAGAGAAAUUUGGAUUAAUACCCCGUAACAUGAUUGAGUGGCAUCACUUAAUUAUUAAAGUUCCGGCGCUUAAAGAUGGGUGUGCGUCUGAUUAGGUAGUUGGUAGGGGUAACGGCCCACCAAGCCAACGAUCAGUAACUGGUGUGAGAGCACGACCAGUCACACGGGCACUGAGACACGGGCCCGACUCUACGGGAGGCAGCAGUAAGGAAUAUUGGUCAAUGGACGCAAGUCUGAACCAGCCAUGCCGNGUGGA